UGGGGAAUAUUGCACAAUGGGCGCAAGCCUGAUGCAGCCAUGCCGCGUGUAUGAAGAAGGCCUUCGGGUUGUAAAGUACUUUCAGCGGGGAGGAAGGCGAUAAGGUUAAUAACCUUGUCGAUUGACGUUACCCGCAGAAGAAGCACCGGCUAACUCCGUGCCAGCAGCCGCGGUAAUACGGAGGGGGCAAGCGUUAAUCGGAAUUACUGGGCGUAAAGCGCACGCAGGCGGUCUGUCAAGUCGGAUGUGAAAUCCCCGGGCUCAACCUGGGAACUGCAUUCGAAACUGGCAGGCUAGAGUCGUGUAGAGGGGGGUAGAAUUCCAGGUGUAGCGGUGAAAUGCGUAGAGAUCUGGAGGAAUACCGGUGGCGAAGGCGGCCCCCUGGACAAAGACUGACGCUCAGGUGCGAAAGCGUGGGGAGCAAACA
This 427-nucleotide ribosomal RNA is filed under the name uncultured bacterium. Its description in RNAcentral is "partial 16S ribosomal RNA". It matches the Rfam family "Bacterial small subunit ribosomal RNA", at positions 355 to 774 of the family's 1533-position model. The record is from RNAcentral.